AUGGGGAGGUAUGAGACAUUCAAUCAUCGACAUUCUUCUUUGCGUAAUGUUGUCGAAAGAUCGUUUGGUGUUCUCAAGAUGAAAUGGCGUAUUCUCCAAGGCAUAACACGAUACAAACCGGAGACCCAAAACAUGAUCACCACUGCAUGCAUGUGUCUUCACAACUACAUUCGUGAUAGCAAGUUACGUGAUGAGCAUUUUGACAAGUUUGACAAUGUUGCGUAUGUGCAUCCUCCACAGCCGUUUACAGGUGCCACCGCUUUACCGCCUGAAGAUGAUGGUACCAUGGCCGCUACAUGUGAGGCUAUUGUUGUCAGUCUUGUACCUUGA
This 330-nucleotide ribosomal RNA is filed under the name Triticum aestivum (bread wheat). Its description in RNAcentral is "partial small subunit ribosomal RNA". The record is from RNAcentral. Lineage: Eukaryota; Viridiplantae; Streptophyta; Magnoliopsida; Poales; Poaceae.